AGCGAACGCUGGCGGCAGGCUUAACACAUGCAAGUCGAGCGGGCACUUUCGGGUGUCAGCGGCGGACGGGUGAGUAACGCGUGGGAACGUGCCCUCUGGUUCGGAAUAACUCAGGGAAACUUGAGCUAAUACCGGAUACGCCCUUUUGGGGAAAGGCUUGCUGCCGGAGGAUCGGCCCGCGUCUGAUUAGCUAGUUGGUGAGGUAACGGCUCACCAAGGCGACGAUCAGUAGCUGGUCUGAGAGGAUGAUCAGCCACACUGGGACUGAGACAAGGCCCAGAAUCCUGCGGGAGGCAGCAGUGGGGAAUAUUGGAGGAUGGGAGAAAGCAUGAUGUAGUAAUGACGCGUGAGUGAUGAAGGUAUUAGGGUUGUAAAGCUAUUUUAACCGGGAUGAUAAUGACAGUACCGGGAGAAUAAGAUAAGGCUAAAUCCGUG
Molecule: ribosomal RNA, 435 nt
Filed under: uncultured bacterium
Lineage: Bacteria
Description: partial 16S ribosomal RNA
Rfam family: Bacterial small subunit ribosomal RNA
Source: RNAcentral